This 1764-nucleotide long non-coding RNA is filed under the name Aedes aegypti (yellow fever mosquito). Its description in RNAcentral is "lncRNA AAEL021843". The record is from RNAcentral. Lineage: Eukaryota; Metazoa; Arthropoda; Insecta; Diptera; Culicidae.
CGGUAGAACCAGUCGAGUUUCGAGUUUCGCCGAGGCCAGUCAUGGAAAUCGACCCGUGAAUACGCGCGCGCGUUCCGCUCUUUGAACCACCUUUGAAGACUUGGAUCCAAAUGCCGACCCGGUGCGGCGGAGUACCUCUCUAUGUAUGUAAUGCAAUAGAAGCUCAGCUGUCUCACUCUUUUCGCGCAUAUCGUGUCAUCGUGCGAAGGCAGCAACAGCAGCAAUAACAACUUAAACAAGAAAGCAUAACUUUAACACCGAAGGCCGGAGAGCUGCGGUGGAGAAUUCGCGCUUACCUUAACGUGUGGGAGCCGGAGCGGAUGUUGCGAGAUAUAAUAUUGUUUGUAUAGAUGUCUUUUUGAUUGCUGUUUGGGCUUAUUCUAGCGAAAGUGAGCAUCUUCCGAUUCGACUUUGAUCGUAUAUCCGCGCGUCGUCGUUCUGAAGUUCGUUCGUCGUUGAUUUGUUGGUUGGUGGCAUUGAAUAGAGCACGCGAACUUGUAGAGUCGCCUCCGUAUUCUGCUCCGUGGAUGGCAAAUUCUGAAUAGCGGUCGAAACCAGUUUCCGAAACCGAAAAGUCUUUGACCUAUAUAAUUCUGCGAGCUGCAUUGUUGUUAGUGGGAUGUGUGAAGCUUUGAAAAGUGAUGCCCAAAGGGAGAUUUCGUAAGAGGGGGUCUUUGAUACGUAUGUAGUGUAGUGCAGUCGAACUAGACCGGCAAAUACUGCUGCCGAGUUCGACGGAUGCUGAGCAUUAACGUCCAAGUGUAUUACUAGUUCAAUGUGCGGUGCAUGAGAGUCUAUCGAAAAGCCCUUCGAUUGCGUCGUCAACUGACCGGGUAACGAAGGCAAGGCGUGAGACAACGUUCUCUUUAUGGUUGACGCUUGGUUUGGAGGGCGGAGGUGGAAGCACUUACACACACAAUCCGUAGGUGAGGAAGUGGACUGCCGACCAUACGGCAAGAAAAGCAGACUUGGCAAGCAGUCUCGCGAAUUGCCGUCGCGACGUUGUAAAGUGGGUAUCGGACACAGCUAAAUCAUCAAUCGUCGACCGCGUGCAUCUAUCACGUUGCCCGAGGAGACCAGUUUUCUGCGGUGCUGCCCGUUGACAAAUGCCCCAACCCAGGUUUGGUCAGCGCAAUCAGGUGAUUUCUAGUUCUGGACAGCUACUAUUCCAGUCCAUCAAAGCAAAGUUGGAAAUGAACACAAAUAAAUUAAGGUGGAUAGCGAAGUGAUCAAACAUCAUCUGGUGCCGAUGAGUGGAAAAGCGAAAUAAACACUACUCGAAAAAGCGAAGCAAAAGCAGUAAAAAUUGUUAAUGUGAUCAAGUGCAAAGUUUUUAAUUGAAGAAGUCAGUUCACAGUAGGAGCGGCAAUAGCAGAAAAAGUUGCACUUGAGAGUGACAUCGGGUCCCCUGGCGACGAUAGUUGAACACCAAGAUCAACAAGGAGAGCCGACCGACCAACUGACAAAGAAGAGUAAGCACAAGGAAGGAAGGAAGCAAACAAAGUGGAAGAAGGUAGCAGCAGCAGCAGAAUCACUUUGUGGCACUUGUGCGAAUUUCCAUUUCAAAGAGUGCACUCGGUAAAGGUGGAAAGCUCACAGAGGAAAAGAGCGCGAGAAGAUAGUGUGCGGUGAGCAGAAGAAGAAAGAGUGUGGGGUGAAAAGCGUGCACUGCGUGGUCAUCUGAGUGUGGGUGGCGAGGGCGCUCCUUGGAAGCGCGUAGUGUAGCAAAAAGGAAUCAAAGGUGUCUGAGACCGGCGAGUCCAG